RNAcentral lists this long non-coding RNA (6166 nucleotides) under Nicotiana tabacum (common tobacco). Its description in RNAcentral is "long non-coding RNA (NTAB_LNC012989)". Lineage: Eukaryota; Viridiplantae; Streptophyta; Magnoliopsida; Solanales; Solanaceae. The record is from RNAcentral.
CCUCAUCUGCCACCCUGAUAUCCUCUCAACCCCUUCUCCCUCUCUCAAGAACCCUAGCCGCCGCCCCUAAAUCUUCUCCUAAUCCCACCUAAUAUGGGAUUCCAUGGCUAUUACUUACCAUACUCGACCCCCUUCUGGUACUGGCUACUCUCCUAUAGUGCUUGCCUAAACAUGGCAAGCAAAUCUCAUCAAAAUCGAACCAAAAUUAGUUCAAAUCCCUAAUUUUUGAAUGUUAUUCCGUCUAUGUUCAUCUUAUGCUACUGUGAGUCCAAAUAUUUCUUUAUAUUCUGUUGAUUCUUACUUACCCUAAAACUAGGGUUUUCAUAUUUCCUUAAAUCGGACCAAAAUUAGUUCGAUUCUCUGAUUUUUAGCGCUAUUUGUGUCUAUAUUCAUCCUAUGUUAUUAUUUUUGUGUAUAUUCUGGUAAUAUUUGUUUUCCUAAAAACUAGGGUUUGCUUGACUUCUCCUAAAUUGAUUCUGAAUCAGUUCCGCAUUCCAUUCUUUCCUUUUUCUUUAAGAUUGAUUGAUUGUUUUUCCUUGUUUGUGUGUUUAAUUUUGCUAUUAUAAAAACCCACCCCCUUCCCCUUUCUGGAUAGAACUUUAAUCAAUGUUCUCUCACUAAAAGUUGAAGUUUUCUACUCUAUACUUGUUUACUAUUCUAUUAUGUUUGGCUCUUGGCCGGCUGAAAGCCAAGGCCACCGGACUUCUACUUUUUCUGACAUCUCUUGGGUGUGAGCAUUGCUUGGGUUCUUGAGACCCUUGGAACUUAACACAUUCAGGACUCUGGGUCUUUACUGCAAUCCUUUUCUUGUUUAUUGAACAAUCACUGGUUAGUUUCUAAAUCCUUGCAAUGUUUACUCUAUUAUGUUAAGCAUGUUCUUUGAAACUGCAUGAUUUAAUGUAUUUCUUUGACUCUUUUCUGCCUAAUUCUGCCUAUGAUUGUUAGCCUAAUAAUGUCUCUGCACCUAGCUUAGUUAGUUUGGAAAGAAUGAAGCAUGCUUUGUUUAGUAUUGUUGAUAAUUCAAAUGUUUUAUUUUGACUAUAUGGUCUAAUCCAUGUUUCUCUGCCUGAUUCUGAACUUCUAAUGGCCAAUUGAUGUUAUUAACCUGCACCCAUUUUGUUUAAGACCUUACUCCGAAUGUUGUAUACUCUUAUGACUAUUUUUGCCACUAUAUGUGUUCUUGCCAUGACGAAUCCGUACCCCUAAUGACUUGUGAUCUUUUAAAACUAAUCUCCUUUGAUUAAUACUCAUUUAGGAAACAUGCCUAUAGGAUCAAACUGGGUAAUUCUGAGUAUUUUAAAUAGUUAUCACUGCCAACUACUGCGCAAAUCACCUAGAAAUCAUGUCUAUAGGUUUAACAACUUGUAAUCUGUAAUUUCAACAAUCAACUCGCAAUACCAGAUUCCCUAAAAUGUAUAGUUGUUCGAAAAUCGCGUCUAUAAAAGUAGCAUCUUGCAUCUGAAACUGCCCGCAUGUUUGAAAUCCAGGUCACAUAGAAAUCAUGUCUAUAGGGCCUAAUAACUUUAAUUUGCCUCAAUCCUGAAAUUGUCUAACGUUUAAUGUGAAAAUUUGUUCGCGUGCAUUUGUUGUCUAAGUGUGGAGGCUAAGUUGAGCCCUUAAUUGCAUUUAUAUGAAGUCCAACUUGUUUUUUAUUUCGUCUAGUUUUAUCAUUUCUGAGCAGCCUAAGCUAAGUCUAGAAACCAUCCAAAAUAGAGGUCCAAAUGCCUCCUGGGCCAUAGGCAUGGGACGGGUAGUGCACGCAUAGGGCACAGUUUAGAAUCAACUAGUGCGCUUUAGGUAAAAACUUAAAGAUAGUAAUCGAGUAGCAGGAGAUGAUAGUGUGUGUCUGCUGAAUAAUACGAGUAUCACCCCACCUCGAGAGAGUUACGAAGUAUUAUUUAUGUUGCACGAGGCGAUCCAUUAGGCUAAAACACUUAGGACCCCCCAUCUUGUCUUUAAACCAAUUAUCUGUGUUUACUCAAGGACUUUCUAAUAAUGAUUUUUUUUCAAACUUCUUCUUUUUCUCUCUGACUAUUUGACUAAUUCAUAUAAUUCAAGUUCGGUCGGGACCCAUAGUUGUGGACCUCGAAGAGUGCCUAACACCUUCUCUUCGAGCUAAUUUGAGCCCUUACCCGAUCUUUGGUGACGCAAACUAGUUAAACAAGAGUUAUUUACAAAUAGGUGCCCUAACGCACCUCAAACCCGUUAUGUGGCGACUCUCUCUUUUAACACCUUUCUUUAAAGGAGUUAUCACGUGUCGAAAUCCGAUUUCGCGAGAAAAUGGGGGGCAACAACCACGAGUAUCAUGUCUGGAUCAGAUUGUACACCGCAACGGUAUCAUGUAUGAAUCGGGUUGCACGCCUCAACAGUGAGAUGUUAAGUACAAAUCCUUAUACUUAUUUUGUGUGCCUUGUUUUCAUCUCUGAUAGAUACAUAGCAUCUGUUUGGCUAUUUUAUUCAUUACGUGGGCUGGGUAGUUCUUUGCCAGAGUUCAUUCUUCCAUAUGGGUCAUAUUUGAGUUGUUCCUCGUUUGCGCAUUGAUGGCAUCAUAUGAGAUUUUAGACGGUAUUUGAGAUGGCUUAUUGUCGAGUAGCUUGUACUGGGUGAGACGAAGUUAUUGGACCUGAAAUCAGUGCGAUCAGGUUUAUGUAAGGUAUAUUAAAGAGAAAAUAUCACUAUUAAGUUCUGAUUGAGGUAAUGGUUCUUGUUAAGCGGAGAGACUCCAUAAAUUAUUGAAUGGAAAUGGUUAUGAGCUUCAACAUGUCGUUUUUAUCAUUGAAGUAUCGCAAAGGUUGGAUGAGGGCUUAUGCACAUAUGAGGUAUACUACGGGCAUCACGUUAGUGAAUUUGCAGCUUCUACAGUUGGAGAAUGUUAUUAUGGGCAUACGAAUUAUGCGGUGCAUUAUGUGGUUUCAUCAUGGGUGCAUAAUCAUAUUUGGUACAGCGAGUUGAGAUUGAUACGGUGUUCGUUUGUUAGAAUCUGGUCUCGUAGAGAAUUUCGAAUGUUGGAAUUUUGUUCUAAGGCUUGUGGUCUAAGGUAGCAAGAAGGAUUCUCAGUCUGACUCGAGCUAGUGUGCUCAUGUGGGUUGUGGUGGCAUGGGUAGGUGCACGAGGUGUUAAACAGUGAUUUUGGGCAACUCCGUAACAGUUCUUAGCACGUUCGAGGACGAACGUAUGCUUAAGUAGGGGAGAAUGUAAUGACCCGACCGGUCAUUUUAAGCUCUAGUGCGUCGUUCAGUGGUUUGAGGCCUUGAGUAGCUUCACUUCAUGUGCUUAUGACUUGUAAGCGUAGUCGGAAUUGAAUUUCGGGAAGUUCGGAGUUGAUUCGAAUGGAAAAUUCUCAAUUUGGAAGCUUUAAGUUGGAAAAGUUGACCAAGGGUUAACGUUUGAGUAAACGACCUUAAAAUCGGGAUUUUAAGGUUCCAAUAGGUUCGUAUGAUGAUUUCGGUCUUGGGUGUAUGCUCGGGUUGAGUAUCGGGUGGUCGGGGAGCAUUUCGGCGCUUAUUGUGGAAAGUUGGAAUUUUGAAGGUUUUAGAAUUUUCUAAGUUUGAUUUGAAGUGGGCUUUGAUGUUAUUAAUGUUCGUUUUGGAUUCCGAGCCUUGGAAUAGGUUCGUAUUGUGAUUUGUGACUUAUACGUGAAGUUUGGCGUCAUUCCGGAAUAUUUAGAUAUAAUUCGAUCACGUUAGACGAAGUUUGAAUGUUAGGAAGUUAAAAGAAGGAUCUUGAUCGUCGAUUCGUAGUUUGGAUAUUUUUUAGGGUAAUUUGAGGUCUCGAUCAGGUUCGUGUCAUGUUUCGGGACUGGUUGGUGUGGUUGGACGAGAUCCUGGUGGCCUCGGGUGUGAUUCGGGGUGGUUUCGGACCAUGUUUGGGUGAUUUGUUGGUGCUGGUGUCUGGAUUUGUUCUUCGCGAACACGAAGGGAUGCACGCGCUCACGAAGAAGGAUUUUUUAUUGCUGGGUAUUUGUUCAUCGUGAACGCGGCACUGGGGUCAAACGCGGAGAAGAAGCUGAGGUUACUAUCGCGAACGUGACAGGGAGUCGCGAACGCAUAGAAAGAUGGUGAGCUGGGGGCCUGGAAGCAUUAAGCCUUCGCAAACAUGGAGCAGUGACCGCGAACGCAAAGCGUCAGGACCUGGAGGCAUCGCGAACGCGACUGGUGUACGCGAACGUGAAGGAGGAUUUUUGGACAACUAAUAUUUUUGACCUUCGCGAUCGGGAGGGUUUUUUCUGCGAUCGCGAACGCGCUGAAGAAGUUGAGGUUCCCUUCCCAAACACGACAGGGAGUCAUGAACACGUAGAAAGAUGGUGAGCUGGGGGCCCGGAGGUGUUAAGCCUUCGCGAAUGCGAAGCAGUGAUCAUGAACGGGAAGCAUCAGGACCUGGAGGCAUCACGAACGCGACGUGGUGGACGCAAAUGCGAACGCGAUAUGGUGGACGCGAACAUGAAGGAGGAUUUUUAGACUACUGAUUUUUUGGACUUCGCGAUCGCGAAGGUUUUUCCGCGAUCGCGGAGAAGUAGGACCUGGGCAGACUUGUUUUUAAAUCGAGACUUAGCUCUUAUUUCUCUCAUUUUGCACUUGGAUGGACAAAUUUGGGGAGCUAUUUUGAGGAGAUUUUCAUCAAGAAACACAAGGUAAGUGAUUCGCACUUGUUGUAAGUUAAAUAUUUGAAUUAUGUUUGGAUUUAAACAUGGAAUUUUGAAGAAAUUGCGAAAUCUUGAAGAAAAACCUAGAAUUUGAUGUUUUUGGAUUUUAACCACGAAAUUGGACAUGGAAUUAGGGAUAAAUUAUAUAUUUGAGUUCGUGAUAUUAUGGGUAAUGUUAAUCUUCGAAAAGUUUCGGAAUCCGAGCACGUAGGCUCGAGGGUUGACUUUGUUGACUUUUUGAGCGGAGUUUGGAAUUGUUAUAAAUUAUUAAAUUAUAAGCAUUUGUAGUAUAUUUUGAUUGAUUUGCACGUUGAUUGACUAGUUUCGGGUUGACGGGCAUUGGUUCGAGGUGUCGGAGGAGCGUUGGAGCCGGUUAUGGAACUUCGGAGCGAGGUAAGACUCCUGUCUAACUUUGUGAGGGGGAAACUACCCCCUAGGUGAUGUACUUUUUAUGUGCUACUUGUUGUGGGGACUACGUACGCACUAGGUUACGAGAGUCCGUACGUAGCUAGAUUCAUAUUUAUGUCUGGGUAGACCUAGGACUUUACUAUGCAAUAAAUUGUAUUACUUGAAUUUGAUUGUUAGCUUAAUUAUUUGAAGACUAUAAGUAAAAUAUGAUAAAGAUCAUGUUAGAUCGAAUUUCCUUUCCCUGAGCUAUUUGGAAGGAUAAUCGAUUGAUGGUAAAUAUCAUGUUUACGUUAUGUCUCUGACCCUGUAUAGUAAAUACGAGAUUCAUAAGUCGAUAAGUUUCUUCUCUUCCUAGGGAUCAGGCCGAACGCCUCGGCAGUUUAUGUAUAUAUGAGAUGCAUCUGUGGAUUAGGCUGUACGAACUCGACAGUGAAUGUAUACAACUAUAUGGAUCAGGUCGAACGACCUCAGCAUAAUUCGUGCGUAAAAUCGCUAGGAGUCCGAAUACCCACGGGAUUACCCUCUUAAUUUAACUUGAAAAUUACGUAAUAUUCUAUUUAUGAUCUGAGAUCGAAUAUCUAAUUGAUGGUUCCUAUUUGUUGAGUUAGCAUGUGGAAACUUGGGGAUAUUUAAAAUGAUAAUAUUUGUUAACGGAUUUCGUUAUCUACUGUUCCUUAUUCUAUUGAUCCUGUGGUAUUUCAUGUCCGCUUAUGAUUCUUGCAUUUUAUUUAUUGGACCACUAGUAAGUUUCGAUGUCAACCCCCCGUCACUACUUUUUUGGUGUUAGACUAGAUACUUGUUGGGUACAUGUUGAUAUACGUACUCACGCUACACUUCUGCACUGAAUGUGCAGGAUCUGACAGGUUCACUUGGUGGCCAUCCUGGUGCAUACGCACAACUGCUGAGUGGAGUUUUUGGUGAGAUGUUUCCUAUGCUAUGCAUCGCAUCCCUCGGAGUCUCCAUCUUAUUUAUUUACAUUAUCUUGUCUAUUGUAUUUUCCAUAUAGUUGUUGUAUUAUUAAUGCACUCUUUAUGCACUUGUGACAUCGGAUUUUGGGAUGUUCUAGAAUUUGUUUAUGGUAUUGCUUAACAUUGACACACUUUUACUUUAUAUUUU